This 467-nucleotide ribosomal RNA is filed under the name uncultured bacterium. RNAcentral describes it as "partial 16S ribosomal RNA". It matches the Rfam family "Bacterial small subunit ribosomal RNA", at positions 28 to 506 of the family's 1533-position model. The record is from RNAcentral.
GACGAACGCUGGCGGCGUGCUUAACACAUGCAAGUCGAACGGAAAGGCCCUGCUUUUGUGGGGUGCUCGAGUGGCGAACGGGUGAGUAACACGUGAGUAACCUGCCCUUGACUUUGGGAUAACUUCAGGAAACUGGGGCUAAUACCGGAUAGGAGCUCCUGCUGCAUGGUGGGGGUUGGAAAGUUUCGGCGGUUGGGGAUGGACUCGCGGCUUAUCAGCUUGUUGGUGGGGUAGUGGCUUACCAAGGCUUUGACGGGUAGCCGGCCUGAGAGGGUGACCGGCAACAUGGGGACUGAGAUACGGCCCAGACGCCUACGGGGGGAAGCGGUGGGAAAUAUGGCACAAGGGGCGGAAGCCUGAUGCAGAAACGCCGGGUGCGGGAUGACGGCCUUCGGGUGGUAAACCGCUUUCGCAUGUGACGAAGCGGGAGUGACGGUAAUGGGUAAAGAAGCACCGGCUAACUACGU